Molecule: ribosomal RNA, 460 nt
Filed under: uncultured bacterium
Lineage: Bacteria
Description: partial 16S ribosomal RNA
Rfam family: Bacterial small subunit ribosomal RNA
Source: RNAcentral
CCUACGGGAGGCAGCAGUGAGGAAUAUUGGUCAAUGGACGAAAGUCUGAACCAGCCAUGCCGCGUGCAGGAUGACGGCCCUAUGAGUUGUAAACUGCUUUUGUCUUAGGGCAAACACCCCUACGUGUAGGGGCUUGAAAGUAUAAUACGAAUAAGGAACGGGUAACUCCGUGCCAGCAGCCGCGGUAAUUCGGAGGAUUCCAGCGUUAUCCGGAUUUAUUGGGUUUAAAGGGUGCGUAGGCGGUCGGAUCAGUUAGAGGUGAAAUCCCGAGGCUCAAAUUCGGAAUUGCCUCUGAUACUGUUCGGCUAGAGAGUAGUUGCGGUAGGCGGAAUGUAUGGUGUAGCGGUGAAAUGCUUAGAGAUCAUACAGAACACCGAUUGCGAAGGCAGCUUACCAGGCUACUUCUGACGUUGAGGCACGAAAGCGUGGGGAGCAAACAGGAUUAGAUACCCGUGUAGUC